This 477-nucleotide ribosomal RNA is filed under the name uncultured bacterium. RNAcentral describes it as "bacterial SSU rRNA". It matches the Rfam family "Bacterial small subunit ribosomal RNA", at positions 28 to 507 of the family's 1533-position model. The record is from RNAcentral.
GACGAACGCCGGCGGCGUGCCUCAAACAUGCAAGUCGAGCGGGGAACUUUUAAAAGCGCAAGCUUUUAUAAGUUCCUAGCGGCGAACGGGUGAGUAACACGUGAGUAACCUGCCUUUCACUGGGGAAUAACAUCGAGAAAUCGGUGCUAAUACCGCAUAAUGUCACGAGACCGCAUGGUUUUGUGACCAAAGGAGUAAUCCGGUGAUAGAUGGACUCGCGUCCGAUUAGAUAGUUGGUGAGGUAACGGCCCACCAAGUCUACGAUCGGUAGCCGAACUGAGAGGUUGAUCGGCCACAUUGGGACUGAGACACGGCCCAGACUCCUACGGGAGGCAGCAGUGGGGAAUAUUGGGCAAUGGGCGAAAGCCUGACCCAGCAACGCCGCGUGAAGGAAGAAGGUCUUCGGAUUGUAAACUUCUUUGAUCAGGGACGAAUAAAUGACGGUACCUGAAGAACAAAGCCACGGCUAACUACGUG